GGUACGUUGGCCGAGUGGUUAAGGCGUUGGACUUAAGUUCCAACGUGGGUUCGAACCCCACACGUACAA
Ruditapes philippinarum (Manila clam) is the source of this 69-nucleotide non-coding RNA. NCBI's taxonomy places the organism in Eukaryota, Metazoa, Mollusca, Bivalvia, Venerida, Veneridae. The record is from the annotation of a RefSeq genome assembly.